CCUACGGGAGGCAGCAGUGGGGAAUAUUGCACAAUGGGGGAAACCCUGAUGCAGCAACGCCGCGUGAGUGAAGAAGUUUUUCGGUAUGUAAAGCUCUAUCAGCAGGGAAGAAAAUGACGGUACCUGCUUAAGAAGCACCGGCUACCUACGUGCCAGCAGCCGCGGUAAUACGUAGGGGGCAAGCGUUAUCCGGAUUGAUUGGGUGUAAAGGGAGCGUAGACGGCAGAACAAGUCUGGAGUGAAAUGCAGGGGCUUAACCCCGGAACUGCAUUGGAAACUGUGAGGCUAGAGUGUAGGAGGGGUAAGUGGAAUUCCUGGUGUAGCGGUGAAAUGCGUAGAUAUUAGGAGGAACACCAGUGGCGAAGGCGACUUACUGGACUGUAACUGACGCUGAGGCUCGAAAGCGUGGGGAGCAAACAGGAUUAGAUACCCGGGUAGUC
Molecule: ribosomal RNA, 440 nt
Filed under: uncultured bacterium
Lineage: Bacteria
Description: partial 16S ribosomal RNA
Rfam family: Bacterial small subunit ribosomal RNA
Source: RNAcentral